This 372-nucleotide ribosomal RNA is filed under the name uncultured organism. RNAcentral's name for it is "bacterial SSU rRNA". It matches the Rfam family "Bacterial small subunit ribosomal RNA", at positions 526 to 896 of the family's 1533-position model. The record is from RNAcentral.
CGUAGGGUGCGAGCGUUAAUCGGAAUUACUGGGCGUAAAGCGUGCGCAGGCGGUUUAGUAAGACAGGCGUGAAGUCCCCGGGCUCAACCUGGGAACUGCGCUUGUGACUGCUAAGCUAGAGUACGGCAGAGGGGGGUGGAAUUCCACGUGUAGCAGUGAAAUGCGUAGAGAUGUGGAGGAACACCAAUGGCGAAGGCAGCCCCCUGGGUCGAUACUGACGCUCAUGCACGAAAGCGUGGGAAGCAAACAGGAUUAGAUACCCUGGUAGUCCACGCCCUAAACGAUGUCAACUAGGUGUUGGGAGGGUAAAACCUUUUAGUACCGGAGCUAACGCGUGAAGUUGACCGCCUGGGGAGUACGGCCGCAAGGUUA